UGGGGAAUAUUGGACAAUGGGCGCAAGCCUGAUCCAGCCAUACCGUGUGGGUGAAGAAGACCUUCGGGUUGUAAAGCCCUUUGUUGGGAAGAAUGCCAGCCAGGCUAAUACCUGGUUGGGAUGACGGUACCAAGAAUAAGCACCGGCUAACUUCGUGCCAGCAGCCGCGGUAAUACGAAGGGUGCAAGCGUUACUCGGAAUUACUGGGCGUAAAGCGUGCGUAGGUGGUCGUUUAAGUCCGUUGUGAAAGCCCUGGGCUCAACCUGGGAACUGCAGUGGAUACUGGGCGACUAGAGUGUGGUAGAGGGUAGCGGAAUUCCUGGUGUAGCAGUGAAAUGCGUAGAGAUCAGGAGGAACAUCCAUGGCGAAGGCAGCUACCUGGACCAACACUGACACUGAGGCACGAAAGCGU
This 412-nucleotide ribosomal RNA is filed under the name uncultured Stenotrophomonas sp. Its description in RNAcentral is "bacterial SSU rRNA". It matches the Rfam family "Bacterial small subunit ribosomal RNA", at positions 355 to 762 of the family's 1533-position model. The record is from RNAcentral. Lineage: Bacteria; Pseudomonadati; Pseudomonadota; Gammaproteobacteria; Lysobacterales; Lysobacteraceae.